RNAcentral lists this transfer RNA (68 nucleotides) under Marmota monax (woodchuck). Its description in RNAcentral is "tRNA.Ala". Lineage: Eukaryota; Metazoa; Chordata; Mammalia; Rodentia; Sciuridae. The record is from RNAcentral.
GAUGUAGCUCAGUGGCAGAGCACUUGCCUAGCAUGCACAAGGCCCUGAGUUCAAUCCCCAGUGCAACA